AUAAGAAAUAGAGAAUGGUUGUGGUUUGGCCACUUUGAUUUUGAAGUACAUUUCGUGAAUCGGAAAUAAAAUACCGUUAGAAUUGGCCUGAGUAAUGUAGUAGCGAAUAACUACUGUUGUCAAAGCUGGAAGUUUAUUAGCUAGCAUAGGCUAGGCUGGCAGCCGGUUGAAAAGAUGGCGGAACUGGAAGUUGAUGUGGUGCGUAAAUAUAAUGGCGGGGAAUCAAGGAGAAUUGGAAUAUGGGAAACGUAGAAAAGUAGCAUACAGUGAUGGAAAUGCCCCUUCUUAUCUUGUAGGAGUAGGAGUUUGUAGGAGUUUUACGAGAGGCGGGCUUGCUUUGACAUUUCGUUCUUUUGGAUCAGAAGGAUCUCAAGGUGGUAAAUUCUGGCGUUUCGUGGGAAGUCGAUGCUGCAGAGAUUUAAAAUAUUCCUGGAGUGAUUGAUGCUUGUCGGAUGAAUCGUGGGGUGAAAGAAGAAAAAGUUCUGUUCUUUUGUUUUUUGAUAUGGUCUCUCCUUACUCCAGUGCAGUUGGGAUAUAUAAACUACAAAAUCAGAGCAUUGGUUCCAAGAUUAAUGCAGUGUGACCACUGUAAAACUUUUGGACAUGUUUCAAUAGUUUGCAGAAGGGAGAAGCCAAGAUGUCCAAGUUGUGAAAAAGAUAAUAUCAUGUGUUUUGAAAAUGUGACAUGUUGUAAUUGCGGUGGGAACCAUGAAGCCAUGUCUUUGGAAUUCCCCACAAGGGUGAAAGAAUGAGGUGGCCAAAGUCAGGGCUGUCCAGAGUUUUUCAUUUGCAGCAGGUGUUAUAAUGGUUGAGAGUUUGAGUGGGCUUGAGGAUCUCCUGAGCAUCGAGCCUGCAUUCAGUGAGUUCCAGGAGACCCUCUUCAACCAAGCCUCGGUGGGCCUGGAGCGCGGUGUCCAGUACAAGGAGGUCAACGAGAAACCGGACACAGGCAUCUUACUGUUUCUCGCAAGGCCGUCUCCACACUUCCUGCUCAAGCCUGCACAGAAGUGCAUAGAGUGGCUUAUACACAGCCCCCCCCAUGGAUAACUUGUCAGAGGGGUUGUUUUUAGUACUUCCGAGAACUGAAGUUGUCUCACUGCUAUGAAAGCUUCAUGUAAACUGAAAAUAGCUUGACAUUUUGUCUACUGGUAUUUCUUUCCUGUAGCCCUCACAGAUUCCACAUCCACCUGUAUAAUGGGGAGAGCCUGCUUUCCUGUGUGUUGCCCUUAUUAUGAGACUAAGGUGUAUGUAAGUCAUUCAGUUAAAGGACCCCACUAACCUAUGGAAUUGGCUGGAGGGGCUUCAGAUUUCCUGACAGAAACCAGGAGUUCCCUUUGGCCAGAGGAACCCUAAUCACUGACUGUUACAAAGACUUGGGCUUCAUGGUUUUCAUCUACACCCUGGUCACUAAGUCAAUCAGGACUACAAGGCUUCCACCUACAUGAAAGUGUGCCAGCUCGUUGUGAAGGUGGUCGAUGAAGUCCCAGCUGGUGGACACCCUGGCCCUGCAGAUCAGCAAGUCACGGCAAGGAGCCCCUGCUGCCCAAAGUGGGCCUGGGCUGCCUCAUCGUCCUCCUGCAGAACCAAAAUGAGGGCAUUGUUGGCCCAAAAACCUCUGGCCAGAUGUGUGCUGUGACUUCUUUGGUCCCCACCCUCCAGGCCACAGCAUCAGGCCCUUACUCUGCUGCCUGGUUCACGCCGUUGUCUCCUCCAGCACUG
This is a long non-coding RNA of Oncorhynchus keta (chum salmon), 1719 nucleotides long. RefSeq lists it as uncharacterized. NCBI's taxonomy places the organism in Eukaryota, Metazoa, Chordata, Actinopteri, Salmoniformes, Salmonidae. The record is from RefSeq and is a predicted model, not a curated record. The transcript has 4 exons.